AGUACACACAUAGUCAAGGUAGGACUAGAAGUUGAAAGGAGUCUCCUGUUGAUGCAGCAGUGCUGCCAGUAGAGAACACAGGCUUUUUAUUCUUAAUUUUGCUAUAGAUUUAGUAUUUGUUUUGCAUGCGAGUUCAGAAUGGUUGCAAAGUACGUCCUCUGCUUCAGAACAGUUCAGAGUUGUGGAUAUUAGGGCACGCUAUUCUUUCAGCACCACAUGCAAAUGGGAAUUUAGGGUCUACUUGUGUCCCCUUUGGCAAGUUUUUUUUUUUCUUGCUUACAGAGCAUUUUUAGGGGUCUAGGGCAAUUGCAGUAAGUGGUCCUGUUAUUGGUGGAAGGUAUGAUAAGAGCUCCUGGAUAAAGCCUAAAAAGUUAUUUUUUGUCUAAAUUAUUGAAAACGGGACUUUCAACUGCAUCCAUCCGAUGCCACGAUCUCUGUGACUCAGUUGUUCAUUUGGGUCCAUGUGAAGUUUAUACCUGGUAUAUUCUGCAUACCUGUAUCUAGCAGCUCAUACCUGUUAUUGCACUGCACAACAUCAGCUAAAUGUUGAUGUACAACAAUCCCUGGGGCAGGAAUGCUGAAUUCCGAAUACGGUCAGCUGCUUGCAGUUCUUUAAAAUGUAUUUUAUUUAAACUGUCUGUAAACAUUUUGUAAAUUUCCUGUGUUUAAUGUAAGCUCUGAAUCAACACAGGGUUAAUGAACUCUUAAAAUUAAGCUACACAUAGCUGGUGCACAUCAGCAGUUUGCAAUCCCCAGUCUUCUUGUUUGACCUUGUGAUGCGUGGGUAUAGCACUAUGCUGCCUGUGAGAAUUGAGCAAAACCCACAGCAUUGUUCUUAAAAGUAACUUCUUGGUAUCUGGGUUUCUGCUGACAUUGAAACGCAAAUGUUAACUUUUAAUGUGCUUUGUCUCACAUCAUGCUAGGUAAAUAAGACCAAAUUUGGUCAAGGAAAUCACGUAAGCUAGCUGCAUAUCUGUGCUCUACGAAGUAAUUUCUUUCUACACUGACGGCAGCUCAGAAACUAACGUCUCUGUGCCAUGCUGGCUCUGUUGUCAUAAAAGCUCAGCUUGGCUCAGCUCAGUAACAGCUACACUGAUGCAAGAUCAGCUCAAACAUCUACACUGAUGCCAGCUCAGAAACUAACAUCUACACUAAUGCCAGCUCAGAAACUAACAUCUACACUGAUGCCAGCUCAGACGUUACACCUCCUGAGGCCUACCAUAUGCUGUAUGUGUUUUUUGUUCUUAUUCCUGUUUUUAAAUUGAUAAAUAAAAUCUUUCUGAUUGAA
Acipenser ruthenus (sterlet) is the source of this 1288-nucleotide long non-coding RNA. RefSeq lists it as uncharacterized. Lineage: Eukaryota; Metazoa; Chordata; Actinopteri; Acipenseriformes; Acipenseridae. The transcript is spliced from 2 exons. The record is from RefSeq and is a predicted model, not a curated record.